Molecule: ribosomal RNA, 118 nt
Filed under: Pteropus alecto (black flying fox)
Lineage: Eukaryota; Metazoa; Chordata; Mammalia; Chiroptera; Pteropodidae
Source: RNAcentral
GUCUACAGCCAUGCUCCCCUGAACAAGCCCAAUCUAUCUGAUCUCAGAAGCUAAGCAGGGUCUGGCCUGGUUAGUACUUGGAUGGGGGACCACCUAGGAAGACCAGGUGCUGUAGGCG